Molecule: ribosomal RNA, 439 nt
Filed under: Escherichia coli
Lineage: Bacteria; Pseudomonadati; Pseudomonadota; Gammaproteobacteria; Enterobacterales; Enterobacteriaceae
Description: partial 23S ribosomal RNA
Rfam family: Bacterial large subunit ribosomal RNA
Source: RNAcentral
CGGGACACGUGGUAUCCUGUCUGAAUAUGGGGGGACCAUCCUCCAAGGCUAAAUACUCCUGACUGACCGAUAGUGAACCAGUACCGUGAGGGAAAGGCGAAAAGAACCCCGGCGAGGGGAGUGAAAAAGAACCUGAAACCGUGUACGUACAAGCAGUGGGAGCCUCUUAAUGGGGUGACUGCGUACCUUUUGUAUAAUGGGUCAGCGACUUAUAUUCUGUAGCAAGGUUAACCGAAUAGGGGAGCCGAAGGGAAACCGAGUCUUAACUGGGCGUUAAGUUGCAGGGUAUAGACCCGAAACCCGGUGAUCUAGCCAUGGGCAGGUUGAAGGUUGGGUAACACUAACUGGAGGACCGAACCGACUAAUGUUGAAAAAUUAGCGGAUGACUUGUGGCUGGGGGUGAAAGGCCAAUCAAACCGGGAGAUAGCUGGUUCUCCCC